Molecule: long non-coding RNA, 1057 nt
Filed under: Mytilus galloprovincialis (Mediterranean mussel)
Lineage: Eukaryota; Metazoa; Mollusca; Bivalvia; Mytilida; Mytilidae
Source: RNAcentral
UCCGUGAUUUUUUUCUCAAAAUUUACAGUUUUAACUUCAAAUCUUUUUUAAUAUAACUCCAAUCACCAUGAAAUUUUAAGAACUAUCUCUUUAUUCAUUUAGUUUCAAUUCUGAUAUCUAACACUUUUAUUUUUAUGAUUAUAAUUUGCUCUACACAGGUUAUAAUGAAUGUCACUGUAAGUUCCACUGUAGCGUGGAAUGGCUCAUAUGUACUUAUUCAAUUUAAGCUGCUAUAUCUAACUGUAUUAUGUAUUUUAUUUUGUAUGUAUUUUUGUCCAUUUUCUAUUUGUAUUAAUAGUUUUUGAAGGCCUCAUGGAAGAUUAACAUGUACAGGUAAUUGUUAAAUGUGUUACCUUAGUUAAAUAAAAAAUUUUAUAAUCAUUGCAAACAUAAAGUAAACAAGAACCAAACCAAACAAUGAAAAGCAACUAUAAUUGACCAAUGAAUUAUAAAAAUCUGUAUACAAAGUAUGAAGCCUCCAGGUCGACUAUAAACAGUUUAAUAGAAAUUGUGUAUGCUGAAAGCUAGUACAACAUUUUAAAAGCCUUGUUAUAUUUAUUUAUACUGACAUUUUUGAUUUUGGUUUUAAUAUAUAUUUUUUCAAUUUUUGGAGAAAAAACUUUUCAUUUAUUUGUUGUAACAAAGAACAUAUUGUUUGAGAUGAGAAAUUAAUCACUAUCUUAGUUCUACUUUACCUCAGUCUGUGAAAUCUUCAUUUUUUUUAUAUAAAAAAUGUAGAUUUAAUGAUAUAUAUACAGUUCUGGAAUCAAUUUGAUUACCAUAGAGGUACAUAUUAGUUUUUCAUUUGCUUUUCUUUAUCGGGUUUUACAAUAAAUUUUAUUUUAAAUUUGUCAAUUAUAAGAUUUUUUUUGGGGGAAAAAUACGAGAUAUAAACAACUACAAGGAUGUGUAUCUUUUUUUUUUUUAAUAUUUUCAAUGAUUGUGCAUAUUUUACUUUUACACGGGUUAUGCAGAUAUAGAUUAUGAACUAUAAAAGCAUUCAAUAUUAUUAUUUUGAUAUAACAAGAACUAAAACUAUAUAUAAUUUGUUAUGUUU